GACUUAGUACUAGGGGAAAACAUUUACCUUUACCUUAAAUACAUGGUUGUUUAUUAAGCCUUUUGGUCUUACUGAUUUAUUUCUAAAUGAUGAUGUACUGGGUUUCUAAAUUAUUUUCAAAGCUUGUUGAUGGUUUUAAUAUGUUCUUAGCUAAUUUAUUUCAAUUAUUUUAAUGUUGUUUUAAAAUGUUUUGAACUGUUGCUAUCGAUUUUACAUGCAUGGUAUCCUAAAAUCCUUGUAAAACGACAAAUCCCACAAUUUCAUGGCAAUUGAAAGUGGUGUCCAACUCCAUGCAUUCUACAGUGUAGAUCAGUCAUGGGCAAACUUUGGCCUUCCAAGUGUUUUGGACUUCAACUCCCACCAUUCCUAACAGCCUCGGGCCCUUUCCUUUUCCCCCUCAGCCGCUUAAGUGGGCCUGAGGCUGUUAGAAAUGGUGGGAGUUAAAGUCCAAAACACCCAGAGAGCCGAAGUUUGCCCAUGCCUGGUGUAGAUGCACCCUUGCUCUAUGCAAAACUACAGGAAUUGAAGAAAAAUAUCAUGUCUGGGGCAGAAUUCUUAUUUGUGCCAAACUACCUUCAUUUUGCUUCCACUCCAUUGCUAAACUCUUUGUCUUUUCCCAGUUUGGGGUGAACGGUCGUAUCAGGAUAACUAACAUCAGAAGCUUACAUGCCCACCUUGUAUUGGAGCCCCCACGGUUUGAUCUGAAAUACACGGAUUCCAGAUGGUUUCAGGAUACUGAAGCUCUGACCUCUUGUGUUCUACAGAUCAAUAUGUUAACAUGUUUUCCCCACAAGCGUUACUUGCAGAGGACAUAGAGUAACAGAAACAUGGAAGACCUGUACAUCCAGUACCAUUUAUAACUGGGGCCGGUUUUAUUUUUGUUGAACUAAAGGACAUGCCCUUAUCAUAUCUAACAGGAGAAGAAUAUGCCUGGCAAAAAAUCAGGACGAAUUCAUCUCGGCGAAAUGCAGCUGUUUCUUCGUGUGCACAGCUUCUGUUUGAAGAGAACAAGGCAUGUGCCUCUGUGUUGCUGGUUCCCUUUUGCUGUGGAGGAAGGGGAGGGAGUGUACUCUCUGGACAAAGGCCAGUUGAUCACGUCUUCACUGCUGUCAGUUAUUUAAUGGUGUGCAGCCAACGACAUUGACCCUACAUUCUGACCUAAGUAAUCAAUCAAUUUGAUGUUUAAGACAAAAGUGGUACUUUGGGGUGAUAAGGUAUCUAUUUAAUAUCAAACAAAUCCUACAUUUGUGAGAUUCUUUGCCUUUCUUUAUCCUCCUAUUGUUCAUUUCCUCCUUUAUCUGCUGCUGCUUUAACUUUUGUGUUGCUUUGAUAGGCAAGCCUCUGCUGUACUCAGGUUUCAAAUGUGCUGAUUUAAAAUGAAUGCAUUACACAAAGAUAUUAGAAACAUUUCAUCAGUUAUGUACCUCCUGUCCAAUUAUUUCAGUAUCAUUUCAUGUGCAAAUGUAUUUCCAACUUCCCAGGGCUCCAGCCAUAUUUGCUAGCAGCAUCCAAUUUCACUGAAGGGUUGUUGUAUGUCUUUCAGGCUGUGUGGCCAUGUUCCAGAAGUAUUCUCUCCUGACGUUUCGCCCACAUCUAUGGCAGGCAUCCUCAGAGGUUGUGAGGUAUGGAUAAACUAAGUAAGGAAAGGAAAGAAUAUAUAUCUGUGUCCAAGGUGUGGCAAGAGUCCUUUGUCACUGGGAGCCAGCAUUAAUGUUUCAGUUAAUCACCCUAAUUAGCAUUGGAGAUGUUUUGUCCCUUGCCUGGGGGCAUCCUUUGUUCAGUCAAGCCUUCAUUGUGUUGGUUCCCAUUGUUGUCGACUGUGUUUUUAGAGGAUCGGGCCCCUUAAGGAGAGAGCCGAUCCGGUCCUGAGAGAACGGACCUUGGCGGAGCCAAUAGGAGAAUAUGAGCCGCAAUACAACCUGAAGGCGAAAUGAAGAAGGUCCGCCAAAGUUGAAGGAAAAUCCGCCAAGGAGUCUUUAUUGAGCGAUUCAGCUGAAAAGGACUCUAGUAGUGAUCAUUCAGUCUACUAGGGUACCAUAUAACCCAAAUAAAGCCAUAUUUAUACAAUGUUUCAGUCUGACAGCCCCUUGAAUUUCCCGCCCCGCUCCCCCCGCCCAUCUGAUCGCGGAUAGGCUAAAGGGUUGAACGAGGCGGGCUUUCGUUUCCCGCCUUGCUCUGCUGGCCCAAUAGGGAGUUGCUUUUUGUCCCCACUCGGGCCAAUCAGAGAGGAGAAGGCGGGAGUUAUUGGAACAAUGAAGUGACUGAGCAGGAAGGAUCGGAUUAAAUCCUGCCCGGCCGAAUUCUAAAGGGAUUAAUGACAGCAAUCAAGGGUUCCUGUCACGUACACGGAUUUCAGAUAUGCCUUGGGGUGUCAGAGGUGGAAGUAAGGAUGGGUGGCGAUGGGCCCAGCAGGGCGCCUUCCUGAGAUGUCAUUUGGAGGAGAUAUGACAAUGUUUGCCUUGAGGGCGAAUCACCUUUAGGUCAAAAUACUCCGAAUUCGGCGACUCAAGCCCUAUAUUGUCCAUGCAAUCUGAAUCUGAUUAGGUUAAGCGGCAGCGGAUUAACCUUUUGUUUUUGGGAAGGUAAGCCUGGGUCAUAGGAAAUGGGGCAUGUCCUGGGGCUCAAGUUGAGUUCGAAAUAUUCCCUAUCUGAUUUCAUGAAUUGGCAAUUAUAUGAAAUAAAAUGAAAAAUAAAAUAAAGUUGGAAUAUAAACCCAGCUGGGAAAAAUACAUAUUUUCCGGGGAUCCCAAAGAGUACAAAUACAUAUAGGCAGAUAGAUAGAUCUCAAGGAGGUAAGGGAGAAGCCAUAGAGGUGGGUUACAUUGCAUGAAGGGGAAUCAUGAAUGAUAUAAACAAUUGGAAAACAUUUGAUAAGAACGAAGUACACAACAUCUGGGGAACCCAAUAUGGAAAUUCAUAAAAGUGGAGUUUUAGCAGCAUGAUUUCACAAUUCAUGAAGUUAGCCCAACGAUUAGAAAUUCAUACAACAGUGAUUCAUGAGGGUGUCCGGGUACAUAGAAUAUGAAAAUUCACGGAUACAUGAGGAAAAGAGUUCAUCUGUGGUGGAAGGAAUUCAUAGAGAUGGCAUGGGGGAGAGGCACAUGUGGGUUGCAGUCUUUGGAAGUAUAAGAUUUCAUAAGUCCAGGGAUAGGUCUGGGGGAAGAGUGUUCUUCUCCUUCAUAAAAUUAUGAAGGUAUGAAUGAAACGUGGAGGGCUCCCGUCCAGGCACCCUCCUGGCAGGCUGUAGAGAGGGCGAAGGUCCUUGGAGAACUAUGUCUCCCCGGCGGAAGAGCGAUCCCCCCAUCCCCAGUUCACAGAAAGGGACCAGGGAUCUCCUAAAACCAUCCCGCGGGUCGCGGAGAGAGGAAAGUCCGGGAUAAGGCUGGAAGAGAGCAGUCUGGCUUGAAAGGAGCAGUUGGUUCCGUUUGACAGUCAGCUGAUGAGGUGCCGAGAACUGGACCGAUUUUGGUUCCGCUGGUGGUCCUUGAGUCAGGAGCCUUAGAAAGGAUUAGGACUAAAAGAAGAGCGUGCCAGGGGUAAUUUUGAUAAAGAUAUGAGCCAAUUUGUAUCGUCUGCUGUAUUAACCUAUGGCGGGGAAGCCUCUGCCAGGGUUUAAAGAUCAGACGGGUUAGUGAGAGAGAGAGGGAGAGAGAAAUUGCAUGCAAAGGAAGGAGUCAGAGAAAGACACAAAAUAACCAGAUAGAGAGUGUUACUGCUAAAAUAAAUGCUACUUUUAUUGGGGGAUUUGUUACAUAGUUCAGGGAAGGGGAAAGUGAAGAAAAAAGAUCUUUUAAUAAUAGUCUGCUGCGGUCCCGCUCCGUUCCUUUUGGUGAUGGAUCUGCGGAACUCUCCGCUGCGGGUUCAAAUUAAUUUGAAAGCCGGGGUCUCGGUCAUCACCAUCUACUGUUUUGAUUUUGGAGUUUUGUAAUACUGGUAGCCAGAUUUUGUUCAUUUUCAUGGUUUCUUCCUUUCUGUUAAAGUUGUCCACAUGCUUGUGGAUUUCAAUGGCUUCUCUGUGUAGUCUGACAUGAUAGUUGUUGGAAUGGUCCAGCAUUUUUGUGUUCUCAAAUAGUAUCCUGUGUCCAGGCUGGUUCAUCAAAUGCUCUGCUAUGGCUGAUUUCUCUGGCUGAAUUAGUCUGCAGUGCCUUUCAUGUUCUUUGACUCUUGUUUGGGCGCUGCGUUUGGUGGUCCCUAUGUAGACUUGUCCACAGCUGCAUGGUAUCUGGUAGACUCCUGCAGAAGAGAGAGGAUCCCUCUUGUCCUUCGCUGACCGUAGCAUUUGUUGGAUUUUCUUUGUGGGUCUGUAGAUGGUUUGUAGGUUGUGCUUCUUCAUCAAUUUGCCUAUGCGGUCAGUAGUUCCCUUGAUGUAUGGUAAGAACACCUUUCCUCUGGGUGGAUCUUUGUCUUGACUCUCAUGGCUUGUUCUUGGCCUUGCAGCUCUUCUGAUGUCUGUGGUGGAGUAUCCAUUGGCCUGUAGAGCCCAGUUUAGGUGGUUGAGUUCACCUUGGAGGAGGUGAGGUUCGCAGAUUCUUUGUGCACGGUCUGUCAGGGCUUUGAUUGUGCUCCUUUUUUGACUUGGGUGAUGAACUAAUUAGGGUGAUUAACUGAAACAUUAAUGCUGGCUCCCAGUGAUAAAGGACUCUUGCCACACCUUGGACUUUACACAGAUAUAUAUUCUUUCCUUUCCUUACUUAGUUUAUCCAUACCUCACAACCUCUGAGGAUGCCUGCCAUAGAUGUGGGCGAAACGUCAGGAGAGAAUACUUCUGGAACAUGGCCACACAGUCCGAAAGACAUACAACAACCCUGUGAUCCUGGCCAUGAAAGCCUUCGACAACACAAUUUCACUGAAGUUUGCUUGUUUGUUUUUGUUCACUAACAUGGCUAAAACAAUGGGAUAGUUAUGACAGGAAAGGAUUAACAGGAUCAGGAAUUUAGAAUAUGUAGAUUCAUAUUCCUAUUCAUUCAUAUUGUGGGACCCCAGCCUAAAAUUUGGCUUUUUACCAAUGAAUGGAAGCAGGUGCUUAACCUGUCAACUACAUCCUGAAAACACUCAGAAGACAUUUUAGCCCAAAGUUCCCUAUCUAAGUUCAGAGACUGCCCCUGGCAGCGCAGCAGGUUAAACUGCAGAGCUGCUGAACUUGCUGACCGAAAGGUUGGCAUUCAAAUCUGAAGAGCUGGGUGAGCUCCCGUUGUUAGCCCCAGCUUCUGCCAAUCUAGCAGUUCGUAAAUUGCAAAUGUGAGUAGAACAAUAGGUGCCGCUCCAGCAGGAAAAUAACGGCGCUCCAUGCAGUCAUGCUGGCCACAUGACCUUGGAGGUGUCUACGGACAAUGCUGGUUCUUCUUCGGCUUACAAAUGGAGAUGAGCACUAAUCCCCCCCCCCCUAGUUGGACACGACUAGACUUAAUGUCAGGGGGAAACUUUUAUCUUUACCUACCAAUGAAUGGAAUCAGUUGCUUAACCUGUCAAUUACCUCCUGAAAACAUUCCCAAAGACAUUUUAGCCCAAAGUUCCCUAU
Anolis carolinensis (green anole) is the source of this 5518-nucleotide long non-coding RNA. Lineage: Eukaryota; Metazoa; Chordata; Lepidosauria; Squamata; Anolidae. The record is from Ensembl.